UACGUAGGGUGCGAGCGUUAAUCGGAAUUACUGGGCGUAAAGCGUGCGCAGGCGGUUUUUUAAGACAGGCGUGAAAUCCCCGGGCUUAACCUGGGAACGGCGCUUGUGACUGGAAGGCUAGAGUACGGCAGAGGGGGGUGGAAUUCCACGUGUAGCAGUGAAAUGCGUAGAGAUGUGGAGGAACACCGAUGGCGAAGGCAGCCCCCUGGGCCGAUACUGACGCUCAUGCACGAAAGCGUGGGGAGCAAACAGG
This 253-nucleotide ribosomal RNA is filed under the name uncultured bacterium. Its description in RNAcentral is "partial 16S ribosomal RNA". It matches the Rfam family "Bacterial small subunit ribosomal RNA", at positions 524 to 776 of the family's 1533-position model. The record is from RNAcentral.